CGGCGUGCCUAAUACAUGCAAGUCGAGCGGACCGACGGGAGCUUGCUCCCUUAGGUCAGCGGCGGACGGGUGAGUAACACGUGGGUAACCUGCCUGUAAGACUGGGAUAACUCCGGGAAACCGGGGCUAAUACCGGAUGCUUGAUUGAACCGCAUGGUUCAAUCAUAAAAGGUGGCUUUCAGCUACCACUUACAGAUGGACCCGCGGCGCAUUAGCUAGUUGGUGAGGUAACGGCUCACCAAGGCGACGAUGCGUAGCCGACCUGAGAGGGUGAUCGGCCACACUGGGACUGAGACACGGCCCAGACUCCUACGGGAGGCAGCAGUAGGGAAUCUUCCGCAAUGGACGAAAGUCUGACGGAGCAACGCCGCGUGAGUGAUGAAGGUUUUCGGAUCGUAAAACUCUGUUGUUAGGGAAGAACAAGUACCGUUCGAAUAGGGCGGCACCUUGACGGUACCUAACCAGAAAGCCACGGCUAACUACGUGCCAGCAGCCGCGGUAAUACGUAGGUGGCAAGCGUUGUCCGGAAUUAUUGGGCGUAAAGCGCGCGCAGGCGGUUUCUUAAGUCUGAUGUGAAGCCCCCGGCUCAACCGGGGAGGGUCAUUGGAAACUGGGGAACUUGAGUGCAGAAGAGGAGAGUGGAAUUCCACGUGUAGCGGUGAAAUGCGUAGAGAUGUGGAGGAACACCAGUGGCGAAGGCGACUC
This 705-nucleotide ribosomal RNA is filed under the name uncultured Bacilli bacterium. RNAcentral describes it as "bacterial SSU rRNA". It matches the Rfam family "Bacterial small subunit ribosomal RNA", at positions 40 to 727 of the family's 1533-position model. Lineage: Bacteria; Bacillati; Bacillota; Bacilli. The record is from RNAcentral.